GCCUGUUCGAGCGUCAUUAUAACCCCUCAAGCUCAGCUUGGUAUUGGGGCCUGCCGUCUGGCAGCCUUAAAUCAGUGGCGGUGCAUCUGGCUCUAAGCGUAGUAAUUUUCCUCGCUACAGAGUUCUGGUGGAUGCUUGCCAUCAACCCCCAAUUUUCUAUGGUUGACCUCGGAUCAGGUAGGGAUACCCGCUGAACUUAA
Molecule: unclassified non-coding RNA, 200 nt
Filed under: soil metagenome
Description: partial contains internal transcribed spacer 2 and large subunit ribosomal RNA
Source: RNAcentral